Molecule: small nucleolar RNA, 107 nt
Organism: Juglans microcarpa x Juglans regia
Lineage: Eukaryota; Viridiplantae; Streptophyta; Magnoliopsida; Fagales; Juglandaceae
Source: RefSeq, a predicted model, not a curated record
UGGUCAUGAUGUGGACACUUGCGCAAUACAUCCUUAUAUCUCUCCCAUGCCUAAUAUAUUGAUUCACCCUCAAAUUGGGUGAAUGUAUUGAUAUCAUUCCUUAACUU